GGACAUUCUUACAUAAAUGGGCUGGUCAUCCUUUAGCUAAUGGAAGUUUAUAACCAGAUGUCAGAUGUUCACAUGUUCCUACUGAAUGUUUACCUGAACUCAAAAUAGUCUGUCUCUGUGCUCCACUCUUCUGCUGCUUAUGCCUGUUUCCACAUGGUCCCUAUUCUGGGCCUGGCUACUGGCUUCUGCACUUCGGUACAAAAUGACCAUUGUCACUCUCCAGGUUGCAGGCGCCCCACUGGUUACUGCAACGACCACUGCAGUGUCUUCAGUCCUGCUGGCCCCAAGUGUUUUCCAGCAGACAGUUACAAGAUCUUCGGACCUUGAGAGGAAAGCCAGCUCCCCUUCUCCUCUAACUAUUGGAACGCCAGAAAGUCAGAGAAAGCCUUCCAUUAUUCUCAGCAAGUCUCAGCUCCAGGAUACAUUAAUACAUCUAAUAAAGAAUGAUUCCAGCUUCCUCAGUACACUUCAUGAAGUCUACUUGCAGGUUCUGACCAAGAACAAAGACAACCACAACCUAUGACUGGAGCAGAAUAAGUCUAAAGGCAGAGCCCCAGCCUCAGAGACAAAUAGGCUUCAUCAUGGAAACUUCUGAGCAGAACAUUGAGUUUGAGAAUCCUGAAAUUGAGCCUAUGAGAAAGAGACUCAUUUCUUAAGAAUGUUUUCCAAGUGACAUUCUCAGUGAUAAUGGAGGUUUCACUGUGAAGCAUCACCAGCAGAUCCUUGUUUUGACAAAAAAAAAAAAAAAAAAAAAAAAAAAGAGAGCGAUCAUUGUGUUAAGUUAUGUGGGUGUUUUCAUCAGCUAGGAGCAAGGCUGUGGAAUAAGGAGUCAGAUUCUCAGCUUGCUUUCACUUUCAAGGACUUACAGAGGAGUAGUCACCAGCCUCACAGCAGAAGUUCAGCCCGGCCCCCACCGCUUCCCCCAGCCUACCCCAUAGAAACGGGCUUUGGGCUGACAAGUCAAGUUUUGAACAGAGUAGAAGGCAGCUCUGCAAAGUAGCUUCUAGUUUUUAGGACCAGAAUUUAAGCCGGCAAAUUAGGAAUUAUUUCCUCAAGUGAAGUAUAUUUUAUAUGAAUGCCCCAUUUGGGCCUUAAAAGUUGUGAAAUUUCUUAAUAGCAUUUUGUUUUUAAGUGCCCCAGUCCUGCCCUGCAGCAGGCCCCCAGUGCAGCAUUACCAUUUGAAUAGGGCACUGUCAGGCUCUGGUGGUGUGGACACAGGCAUGUCAUACCUUUGAAGGAAAGGCUGGGGCUGGGAAUGCCCACAUCCUAUCAAAUCUUCAUUUUAGGUUAAACUCUCCAUUGGUUCUGAAAAUGCUAAGUUUGUGUGUGAAGCACAGCCUUAUUUUCCUUUUCUGUCAUUGUUGAUUGUUUUCCUUAACACUUUGACAAAAGGACCAGUGGACCAAUCUGACAAAGCCAUUCUGGUUCCUUUCCUUGAGUGUACUGAGAAUAGUUUUAAAGCUAUGCAGAAAAGGGAGCUGUUAUUCACACUGCCCUUAUUUUGUUGUAGAAUUAUGGAGUUAAAAGAAAAUGUGAUUCCGAACUCUACCAAUGUAUUCCUAGGCUGUGAGUACUUUCCCGGCCCAAAGUGUGAAAAUAUGUAAAGAAGCUUUGUUAUGCUGCUAUUGAUCUGCCAUGAUUUCUAUUUAUUCUUUUAUGGCAUGUAAUGG
RNAcentral lists this long non-coding RNA (1670 nucleotides) under Homo sapiens (human). RNAcentral describes it as "non-protein coding lnc-TKT-3:6". The record is from RNAcentral. Lineage: Eukaryota; Metazoa; Chordata; Mammalia; Primates; Hominidae.